Long non-coding RNA from Populus nigra (black poplar), 2933 nucleotides. RefSeq lists it as uncharacterized. The transcript has 4 exons. The record is from RefSeq and is a predicted model, not a curated record. Lineage: Eukaryota; Viridiplantae; Streptophyta; Magnoliopsida; Malpighiales; Salicaceae.
UACCAUUAAUUUUAAUGAAAAAAGUAGAACACCAACGGAAUUGGCAACCUUAAUUUGAACGUAGGAUUUACAUAUUGGUUGUAAAGGCUCUGAAAACAAUCUAAUGAUUUGGUAUAUAAACGCAGAGGCAAAAAUGCCCAAAAACGCAGUAACCAAAAUCCUCUCGACUCAUAAGAAGCUGAAAAACCCACCUGCACUCCUCCCCCGAUGCCAAUGUGACAGAGCAAGCACGAACGAGAAGGAGAAGACAACCCACAAUUCUUCUCCUUCUUCUCUCUUCUAAUUCUCUCUUUUCUUCUUCUUCUAAAUUAAAAAGUAAGAGAGAGAAGGGAAGAUUGGUCCGUCCUUGUUAAAAGAAGAAAAUUAGGCAAGAUUUCUCCAACUCAGAUGCUUCAGCAUUUCCAUUUCGAACCUCUAUUCACAGGCAGGUCCACUCAGAGGUCCAAUUCCGGGUCACCGAUGAAUUGGAUCUGGUUCCUGAUGACUUCUUCUGCUCUUAUAUGGACUUUGACAAACUUGGAUCUUGUCUGAAACAGGACAAUGCGGGUCAUGAGCCAGCUGCUGCUGCUGGCAAUGGGGUUCAAUGUGUGGAUGAGAAAGCAACAAAUGUGAAGUUGAGGCAUAAGUAUAGCAAUUCAGUUGAUGGGUCUUCUUUAACGGAAUCUAUUGACUCAAAAAAAGGCUGUGGCACCUGAAAAACUCGCUGAGUUGUGGGCUCUUGAUCCUAACGAGCCAAAAGGUCCUCGGGAAGCCUACAGUGGAUGAGUUUUUCUGAUUGAUAUCUUAAUAUCCAGUUCCUUUCCUCUCGUAUAAUCCCAUCUUUUUACUUAGCCAAUGAAGCUUGCCAAAUUUGUUCUGUCAUUUUUCACCUGGCGUCUCUAAGGUUAAGCAUGUUUUUAAGUUAUUUGUUUCUGUUGCAUCAAUGCUAUGCGAUGAAAAAUCAAUGCCAUACAUUUAAAUGAAGACCAAAUACAUCUCUUCCAAAAGUUUGAAUAAGAACUCCAGGUAUGAAUUGGCUUUUAAUGCUUUACUACCUUAAUAUCUCAGGGUUUUUUUUUUUUUUAACAUUUCUUAGGUUACUUCUUUUUCUGAAUAUGAACCCUUUGACUUUACAACAAUGAGCUAGGAAACUAUCGAAAGCUUUUCAUGGUAUUUUAUUUUUAUUAAUUUAUCUCAAAUUAUCUAUUUUUUGAAGUAUAUUAUGUAGCCUGUCCAUGAUACUCUAAAGAGUGAUUCUUUAUUAAUCAUGGAAUUGCUUUUGAUUGAUCUGAUUUACAUGCAGAUGAAUAAAAAAGUAUAAAUUCUAUAAAUUUCCUCUGAAACUAUCUAGGAUUAUGGCCAAUAGGCAGUCUCCUGCUCGUUUGAAAGAGAGCCCGAUAUCGUAUGUAUCCGAACUCGAAAGAAAAGUGCAUACCAACUUACACUAUUCCAUAGGGAUACAUCAAGUCUGACUACUGAGAACUCAGAGCUUAAGCUUCGAUUACAAGCUAUGGAACAACAGGCUGAAUUACAUGACGCUCUGAAUGAAGCAUUGAAGAAGGAAAUAGAGACUCAAGUUUGCUACUGGAGAAAUUAUGGCACCAACAGAUAGCUAUAAUUUGGGGAUGCAUCAUAUUCCAUAUAACCAUUCUCUCAUGCUUUCACCUAAGCCAUAUCAACGGUCAGUUCAUGGUUGAGGAGGUAUUUGAGAGUGGGGUAAUAAUUUUUUUUUAAUGUAUUUUUUAUUUAUAAAGUUAUCAGAAUAUAUAUUUUUUAAUAAAUUAUUUUUUAUAUUAUCAUACUACAACGAUAAAAAAAAAUAUAAAAUAUUAAUUUUUUUUUAAAAAAUCAAUUUUUAUGAAACGUUAUUUCACCCUUAAACAUUCAAACCCCACAGUUUCAUCAUCUCCGGUCUAACUUGUCACCUCAUCAGCCAGAGAUUGCUGCUUCCCCUUCUCAUGCCUUGCCAGAGAUGUUGCUACAGGAUCCUCUCACAUAGUUGCAGGGGCUUGAUAUCAGCAGCAGAGCUAGAUCUGAAUGCCCCCCAAUUUCCGCCAGUGAAGAACUUCAUUACAGAAUCUCUUGAGGAUUUAUCUAUGUUCAAUUUCAUAUAUACACUACUGGUCAUCGCGAUUCGUGCUCAAUUCAAAUCCAAAUACUGUUUCUAAACCUUCGUACUUUAAUAUUCAAUUCAUAUCCAUACUCCUAAACACACUUCAGGCUUUCAUGCUUCCAGAGCGUUUGUUGUUUUGGAUGAUGCCAAACCCCAGUUUACAAAUUAUCUGUUCUACCCCACUUCAAGUCAAUAUCCUUGGUUUCUCCAUUACAGGUGUCCUCCUCAUUCCAUUUGCUUGCAGCUUGUAUAUUUGGCAGACUUACUAGUAGAAGAGGGAGGGGAGAGCUGUGAUUUGGAAAAAGAAAACACAGACAAGCAAUGGCUGUGUUGUUGAUUGGUUGGCUACCCAUGCUCAUUCCUUAUAUAUGGGAGGUUAUGGAAGCUCCUGUGGGUUAUCUUAGUUUGAUUUUUGAAUGAUAUUAGUGGGGUUAGUAGUUAGUACCCCUACGAUGAUUCCUUUGUAAUAAUUCCUUAGGGCAUUGCCCUCCCUUUGACCCAAAGAAGAAGAAGAAGAAGAAGAAGAAAUAAAUGGCGGAGGGUAUGCCUAAGCUGUAUGAGUUACAAUCACAGGCCUUAAGGUUAGGUUUUGUUUAGACCUUUAGUUUUGGGUUCCCUUGGGUGGGUUGAGUAAGAAAAUGAUGAGCCUGGUGUGAAAAAUCCUCUCCUCAGGCUCGACCUAUAGCUCUCUCGGAAGUCUAUUGAGCAAUCCAUCCCAUUAUCAGGUUUAGAAGCAACCCUAAAGGACGAGUGAAGUUAUAUUAUUUUGUAAUGCGAUUGAUGGUAUUUUUGUUAAAAUAUUUUUUAAUUAAAUAUAUAUAUGAACUUUUUGAUAUUAUCA